AACUCUCAACCCCCUUUGUUUUGUAAUGAAACGAGUGUGGGCUUGGAUUGUGGCGGCUGCCGGCGUAAUUGUCGACUCUGCUGAAAUACACGAGCUACCCAUUUCUGAGAAAUAGACGGUUUGACUCGGCGUAAUAAUAUAUUUCGCUGAGGACGUCACAUUCUCUAACUAGUGGUGCUUCUAAUGCGACAUCGAAAUCUUUAAGA
Molecule: unclassified non-coding RNA, 206 nt
Filed under: uncultured fungus
Lineage: Eukaryota; Fungi
Description: sequence contains ITS2
Source: RNAcentral